Pimephales promelas (fathead minnow) is the source of this 2453-nucleotide non-coding RNA. The record is from RefSeq and is a predicted model, not a curated record. Lineage: Eukaryota; Metazoa; Chordata; Actinopteri; Cypriniformes; Leuciscidae.
UGGUCCUGCGGUUCUGAAACCACACCUUCACCUGAGGGGAGCACAAGACAGGACAUCAGUGCCAUAAACGUUUUGGAUGUAGUUGAGGAAGCGUCUAGGAGACACCGGUGUGUGCCAUUGCUGUGGGUCUGCUGGUGUUGAUUUCAGGCCAGGAAAGUGAGUCUGUCAAAUGGAUAAAGGUCCUUUCCUUAAAUAGAGAAAGGUGCUCCAGAUGAUGUGGGAGUGGCAUAGGUUAGUCUCUCACAACAAACGAGAAAAGUUAACAUGGAGCAGCUAAAUCUCAAACCUCAGGGGAAUCAUAUAAAACGCAGAACAGAGGAGUGUCUGCUCGCAAAAAGCGAGGGUGACAGAGCUCGUUAUAAAACAAGAAUGAACAUUGGCUUGGCUUUUCGGAGAUGGACAACGGAGUGAUUUGAAAUGUCGUAAAAGCGACGCAGAGAUGACGUUAGGCUACUCAACUGGCUGUUGGCACAUGUGAAGUGAAGAGCUCUCCAGAUCCUGUAGAAGUGUUAAGACAAAGGCUUCUGUUCAAACCAACUGGGAGAGGGAAAUACUAAAAUAGCUUCCCAAUAACCUUUUUUUCUGGAUUACAAUGAGAAGUGAGAGCAAGAUUAGCCGCUUUCCUAUUUAAAGAGGAGUCUUUAAUGCGGAAGGAGUAUUUUGGUAUAGAAAGCGAGCACCGAGCGAGAACUCAUGGGGUUAUGCUCCAGUAAGUCUACAGUUGCAGUGGCUCCCUAUACUGGGAUUCAAAGCACUGAUUCAGGAGACCGAGCUGACAGCACCAUGCAAGCUUCAAUUUGGGAUGAUCAAACCUCCACGGACCAGGCUGAUAAGAACAAGGCCGACCAUGUGUGGAGCAAGGGCGCUAACCGUCCCGCCAAACGAUACCUGGAGCUGCAGACAUCCAGGGAGGAAGAGGAGGACAGCGGUGAAGAUGAAGUGGUGGAACUGCUGCUGAGUGUCUCUGACAGUGAAGGGAGUCAGUAUCUGGAUUAGUAUGAGUAUCAAUAUGCACCAUAAGACUCCACAAAACCGAUUCAGAGUCGCUGAACAACGCGUAUAGAGAAACGUCUCUUGCGAAGAGCUCAUCGGUCUUCAAUUUGUGGAUCCAAGAUGUCAAAUUUGGUUUGAAAUAUAAUUUCAGACUCAACCUUAAAACUCUGCGUAUUAUUUCUUACAGACGUCCAGUCAUCUGUAUCAAUGCACGUGCGUUUCUGUUUCUCAUGCCUUCCUUGUGAAUAUAAUAUAAUUAAUUUAUAGUAAAUUAAUUAAGUUGAAUAUUUUUUUUGUGAUCUUAUAUUUGUUUAAACCAGCUAAAUCAAUUUCUCCUAAAUCUUAUAUAAGAUCUUUUUUUUUUAGGUUUUGUGACGGAUAAUGAGAAAAAGAAAGGUUCCACAAAGUCAGCUCAUUCGUCACACAAUGGGUUUUCUCUUUCUUCCCAUAAUUAUUCAGUCUCGUGGGAGAUAGGGCCAGGUUGUAAUUACUCAUAUGAGUAUGCUUGUUGAACUUCUGAAAAUAGAUAAACAUUUUGCUUGAAUAAUGGCAGAAUGAAUGAAUCAUGACUCGGUUGGUGACAGAUAACAGGGUUUCCUUUCCUGCAGCAAGAGAAUCUGAUUAGAUUUUUUUUCUGUGAAAUCAGGGGAAACCCAUCGCUGGCAUUUGUGAACCAUACCUGCAUUUUUUCUUUGGGAUCUGUCUCUCUCAUGACAUUUACAUGCAUUUGGGGCAAAUUGAAUUUACAACCCACAAAAAGUAUAACAAUCAAAGUUAAUUUAAAAGAUAAUAUUGUGAACUAGAUUGUAGAAGUCGCAAUAUUCAUUCAGAUAUCAAGGUAGACUGAAUGAGAUAUAAGCAAAUAUGUUAAAGGUAUACUUGCCUAGAACUCACCAUUUUAUUAAGACAAAAUUAAGUUGAAACAUGCUUUAGUGAUGACAGAAAUACUGUAUGUUGUUUGUGCUUCUUAUAAUUAUCAUGGAUAGAUGAAUUAAUGUCCUAGAUUUACUUAAAUAUGUAAUCUUUUUUUUUUUUUUUUUUUUUUUACAAAGCAUAUAAUAGGUUUUAUACUUUUGUGAAGUAGGAUUUCAACAAAAUGGAGCCAAAUAAAAAUGUCUCUUUAUUAUUAUGUGCAUAAUACAUUCUGCAGUAUGGGGCCCUCAAGUGGUUGGAGGUAUCUGGGCACUUGGUAUUUUGCUGUGUUAGAUAAUCUAUGCCUGGGUUACCAGAAAAUAAGCAAUAGUUUAGUAGCGUAAUCCAUUACAUUACACAGGUAAUAUAAUAUAAUACUUUUAGAUUACUUUUGACCAAAUUCUUCCAAAUCCAAUAUUAUCACAUCAAGUUGAAUAGGAUAAUAUUGUACCUUACUGAUAAAAAAUACAAAGAGAUAGAAAAUAAAUUCUGUUCUGUGCAUUAAACAUUACAUUACAUCAGGCUUUCCCAGAUGGGGUUCAUGAAGG